UAAAAUCAUGGUCACAGCAUUAGCACAAAGAUGCGAUGCAUUCGCAGUCCAAGUUCCAUGCUCACCUGGCAACAGUCUGAAGAGUACCCGUUCAUGAUGGUGGCAUGGUAGACGUACGGCUGCACAAUCCGACGCCAUAUGGAUCCUGACCACUGUUGCUUCAUCGCCAACUGUUUUCUGUCAGCAGAUACUUGCAUGAUCAUACACUGAAAAUAACCAAAAUGAAAUA
Molecule: long non-coding RNA, 229 nt
Filed under: Sorghum bicolor (sorghum)
Lineage: Eukaryota; Viridiplantae; Streptophyta; Magnoliopsida; Poales; Poaceae
Description: long non-coding RNA (SBIC_LNC018853)
Source: RNAcentral